RNAcentral lists this transfer RNA (72 nucleotides) under Bos taurus (domestic cattle). It matches the Rfam family "tRNA". From Rfam's summary of the family: Transfer RNA (tRNA) molecules are approximately 80 nucleotides in length. Their secondary structure includes four short double-helical elements and three loops (D, anti-codon, and T loops). Lineage: Eukaryota; Metazoa; Chordata; Mammalia; Artiodactyla; Bovidae. RNAcentral also lists the same sequence under 1 other name. The record is from Rfam by way of RNAcentral.
UCCCUGCUGACUCAGAGGGUAAAGAAUAUGCCUGCAAAGCAGGAGACCUGGGUUUGAUCCCUGGGUAGGGAA